UACGUAGGGGGCGAGCGUUAAUCGGAAUUACUGGGCGUAAAGCGUGCGCAGGCGGUCUCGUAAGACAGGUGUGAAAUCCCCGGGCUCAACCUGGGAACUGCGCUUGUGACUGCGAGGCUAGAGUGCGGAAGAGGGAGGUGGAAUUCCACGUGUAGCAGUGAAAUGCGUAGAGAUGUGGAGGAACACCGAUGGCGAAGGCAGCCUCCUGGGCCAGCACUGACGCUCAUGCACGAAAGCGUGGGGAGCAAACAGG
Molecule: ribosomal RNA, 253 nt
Filed under: uncultured bacterium
Lineage: Bacteria
Description: partial 16S ribosomal RNA
Rfam family: Bacterial small subunit ribosomal RNA
Source: RNAcentral